GAGGGCGACAGUGGAGGCGGGAAGCCCUGGUUCAGUAAUGGCUUCCUUGUUUGUUGGCUCUCAAAGUCUCAACAGCACAAAGUCAGCGGUCAUAUCUUCACACUUUGGAAAAUAUACUUCAUUUCAUUAGGAGGCACUCAGUCAACAACCUCAACUUGGUAGUCAUGUGACCAAAGGUGAUUACCUACAUUCAGGGAGACGGUGUAAAAUAACGGCAGCAGGUGGGAGUGCGGGUGACACGGCGGUGGUGUUGAAGCAGACCUGCUGGGCCGAGAGCAGGUCGACGGUGUUCUUCUGUGGAGCGCAGGAACCAGCACCAAGACCACGGGACUACUUGCUGGGACUAUGUCCUGUUUGUCGCAGGGAGUGAAGACGUGGACUGAAGGGCCCCCCGCCUGCUCUGAUGGAAAGUGUCUGCUGGCUCUGAUGUCCUGCUCUGACAGGUUUGGCUGCAUGGACACAAGUAGAGUUGGUUAACAUCACAGCACACUUCCGGUGGAAUGUUGAGGUAAAUCACCGAUUUGAGCAGAGUGGGCCCUCCUGGCUGUAGUCUUGAAUCUGACCACUUCUUUGAUGCGCUCCACUUCCUGUUGGUAACGCUUGCGGUCCCUCACAGCCGCCUCCUUGGCGCCCCUCAGGGAACUCUCCAGAGCUUUCACUCUUUCCACGGUUGCCCGGAAGCGUUUUUCUAACUUGGGCAGCUCACAGCGAAGAUCAGCAUUGUCACCCACAAGCUAUGGAAGAUCACAAUCUUUGAAUAAUGAUUGAAAAACAAAAGACAUUCCCGGGCGUGGCCACCACUGCUGCCCGCUGCUCCCCUCACCUCCCAGUAAAUAGGUAAGUAAAGUAUACGUA
Long non-coding RNA from Nerophis ophidion (straightnose pipefish), 855 nucleotides. RefSeq lists it as uncharacterized. The transcript is spliced from 4 exons. NCBI's taxonomy places the organism in Eukaryota, Metazoa, Chordata, Actinopteri, Syngnathiformes, Syngnathidae. The record is from RefSeq and is a predicted model, not a curated record.